Molecule: long non-coding RNA, 326 nt
Filed under: Physcomitrium patens
Lineage: Eukaryota; Viridiplantae; Streptophyta; Bryopsida; Funariales; Funariaceae
Description: long non-coding RNA (PPAT_LNC005325)
Source: RNAcentral
GUAGGAUUUAUUAAAAGUUUGUUGAAGAUCUAGGAUUUGAUUAGAGUUAGAACUUAGGAUUUAAUGUAGGAUUUGAUGUAGGAUUUGGUAUAGGAUUUGGUUAAGAUUAGAGCUUAGGAUUUGAUUAGAAUUUGAUUUGAAACUUGACUAGGAUUUAUUUAGAAUUUAUUUAGGAUUAAUCUAAAAUUAAUCUAUAAUUUAGGAUUUUAUUAGGAUUUGACCUAAGGCUUGGUUAAAGUUCUAUUAGAGUUUUAGUUAGGAUUUGAUAUGGAAUUUGAUUAAUAUUAAAUUAGGAUUUGAAUUAGGAUUAUAUAUAAUUUUUUAUU